This 396-nucleotide ribosomal RNA is filed under the name Triticum aestivum (bread wheat). RNAcentral describes it as "partial small subunit ribosomal RNA". Lineage: Eukaryota; Viridiplantae; Streptophyta; Magnoliopsida; Poales; Poaceae. The record is from RNAcentral.
AUGCUUCAGAGGAGGCACUAGAAUAUUUCAGAUUGGCCUGAGUGUGUACUUUGUCCUGCACACUCUAAAGAGGACAGGGAUCAUGUAUUCUUCACAUGCAAUUUCAGAGUGGGGAUUUGGAAUUAUCUCCAAAUACAGUGGUCUGUUGGGCAUGACAUGUGUGAAAUAGCCUUUAAGGCUAGGAGGGAUUUUGGUUUGCCUUUCUUUGCUGAAGUAAUUUUCACUGCCUGUUGGGAUAUCUGGACAGUGAGGAAUGAUAAAGUUUUCAGGAAUGAGAGACCUUCUUUUGCUAAAUGGAGAUCUGGUUUUGUUAGGGACAUGUCACUGCUUGCUUAUUGAAUUAAAGCCAGAUUCAAGGAUGACUUAAUUAGAUGGGUAACUCACUUGCCUCCUUGA